RNAcentral lists this ribosomal RNA (245 nucleotides) under uncultured bacterium. RNAcentral's name for it is "partial 16S ribosomal RNA". It matches the Rfam family "Bacterial small subunit ribosomal RNA", at positions 524 to 768 of the family's 1533-position model. The record is from RNAcentral.
UACGGAGGGUGCGAGCGUUGUUCGGAUUCACUGGGUAUAAAGGGUUCGUAGGCGGUCCCGUAAGUCAGAGGUGAAAGCUGCCGGCUCAACUGGCAAAUUGCCCUUGAAACUGCGGGACUUGAGUCCGGGAGAGGAAGGUGGAAUUCCUGGUGUAGCGGUGAAAUGCGUAAAUAUCAGGAGGAACACCGGUGGCGAAGGCGGCCUUCUGGUCCGGUACUGACGCUGAGGAACGAAAGCUAGGGGAG